RNAcentral lists this ribosomal RNA (490 nucleotides) under uncultured bacterium. RNAcentral's name for it is "partial 16S ribosomal RNA". It matches the Rfam family "Bacterial small subunit ribosomal RNA", at positions 28 to 507 of the family's 1533-position model. The record is from RNAcentral.
GAUGAACGCUAGCUACAGGCUUAACACAUGCAAGUCGAGGGGCAGCAUGGUCUUAGCUUGCUAAGGCCGAUGGCGACCGGCGCACGGGUGAGUAACACGUAUCCAACCUGCCGUCUACUCUUGGACAGCCUUCUGAAAGGAAGAUUAAUACAAGAUGGCAUCAUGAGUCCGCAUGUUCACAUGAUUAAAGGUAUUCCGGUAGACGAUGGGGAUGCGUUCCAUUAGAUAGUAGGCGGGGUAACGGCCCACCUAGUCUUCGAUGGAUAGGGGUUCUGAGAGGAAGGUCCCCCACAUUGGAACUGAGACACGGUCCAAACUCCUACGGGAGGCAGCAGUGAGGAAUAUUGGUCAAUGGGCGCAGGCCUGAACCAGCCAAGCAGCGUGAAGGAUGACUGCCCUAUGGGUUGUAAACUUCUUUUAUAAAGGAAUAAAGUCGGGUAUGUAUACCCGUUUGCAUGUACUUUAUGAAUAAGGAUCGGCUAACUCCGUG